Molecule: transfer RNA, 69 nt
Filed under: Agapetus fuscipes
Lineage: Eukaryota; Metazoa; Arthropoda; Insecta; Trichoptera; Glossosomatidae
Description: tRNA-Leu
Source: RNAcentral
ACUAUUUUGGCAGAAUUAAUGUAAUAAAUUUAGAAUUUAUUAAUGUAUAAUAACUUUAUACAAAUAGUA